RNAcentral lists this ribosomal RNA (437 nucleotides) under uncultured Eubacteriales bacterium. RNAcentral's name for it is "bacterial SSU rRNA". It matches the Rfam family "Bacterial small subunit ribosomal RNA", at positions 948 to 1382 of the family's 1533-position model. Lineage: Bacteria; Bacillati; Bacillota; Clostridia; Eubacteriales. The record is from RNAcentral.
AAUUCGAAGCAACGCGAAGAACCUUACCAGGGCUUGACAUGCCGCUGACCGGUUUAGAGAUAGAUCUUUAUCCUUCGGGGUACAGCGGACACAGGUGGUGCAUGGUUGUCGUCAGCUCGUGUCGUGAGAUGUUGGGUUAAGUCCCGCAACGAGCGCAACCCUUGUCUUUAGUUGCCAUCAUUAAGUUGGGCACUCUAAAGAGACUGCCGAUGACAAAUCGGAGGAAGGUGGGGAUGACGUCAAAUCAUCAUGCCCUUUAUGUCCUGGGCUACACACGUGCUACAAUGGUUGGUACAACGAGUUGCGAGUCGGUGACGGCGAGCUAAUCUCUUAAAGCCAAUCUCAGUUCGGAUUGUAGGCUGCAACUCGCCUACAUGAAGUCGGAAUCGCUAGUAAUCGCGGAUCAGCACGCCGCGGUGAAUACGUCCCUGCUCCUU